CCUACGGGAGGCAGCAGUGGGGAAUAUUGCGCAAUGGGCGAAAGCCUGACGCAGCGACGCCGCGUGAGGGAUGAAGGUCUUCGGAUCGUAAACCUCUGUCCGCAGGGAAGAACGGUCACUGUGCUAAUCAGCAGUGACUUGACGGUACCUGCAAAGGAAGCACCGGCUAACUCCGUGCCAGCAGCCGCGGUAAUACGGAGGGUGCGAGCGUUAAUCGGAAUUACUGGGCGUAAAGCGCUCGUAGGCGGUAUGUCAAGUCAAGGGUGAAAUCCCCGCGCUCAACGUGGGCACUGCCUUUGAAACUGGCAAACUGGAGUGUGUGAGAGGAUAGUGGAAUUCCAGGUGUAGGAGUGAAAUCCGUAGAUAUCUGGAGGAACAUCAGUGGCGAAGGCGACUAUCUGGCACAUAACUGACGCUGAGGAGCGAAAGCGUGGGUAGCAAACAGGAUUAGAUACUCUUGUAGUC
RNAcentral lists this ribosomal RNA (465 nucleotides) under uncultured bacterium. Its description in RNAcentral is "partial 16S ribosomal RNA". It matches the Rfam family "Bacterial small subunit ribosomal RNA", at positions 338 to 795 of the family's 1533-position model. The record is from RNAcentral.